UGGGGAAUAUUGGACAAUGGGCGCAAGCCUGAUCCAGCCAUGCCGCGCGAGUGAUGAAGGCCCUAGGGUUGUAAAGCUCUUUCACCGGUGAAGAUAAUGACGGUAACCGGAGAAGAAGCCCCGGCUAACUUCGUGCCAGCAGCCGCGGUAAUACGAAGGGGGCUAGCGUUGUUCGGAUUUACUGGGCGUAAAGCGCACGUAGGCGGACUUUUAAGUCAGGGGUGAAAUCCCGGGGCUCAACCCCGGAACUGCCUUUGAUACUGGAAGUCGUGAGUAUGGUAGAGGUGAGUGGAAUUCCGAGUGUAGAGGUGAAAUUCGUAGAUAUUCGGAGGAACACCAGUGGCGAAGGCGGCUCACUGGACCAUUACUGACGCUGAGGUGCGAAAGCGUGGGGAGCAAACAGG
This 404-nucleotide ribosomal RNA is filed under the name Actinomycetes bacterium. Its description in RNAcentral is "Actinobacteria bacterium partial 16S ribosomal RNA". It matches the Rfam family "Bacterial small subunit ribosomal RNA", at positions 355 to 776 of the family's 1533-position model. The record is from RNAcentral. Lineage: Bacteria; Bacillati; Actinomycetota; Actinomycetes.